AGCGUUGUCCGGAAUUAUUGGGCGUAAAGCGCGCGCAGGCGGCCUUUUAAGUCUGAUGUGAAAGCCCCCGGCUCAACCGGGGAGGGUCAUUGGAAACUGGAAGGCUUGAGUGCAGAAGAGAAGAGCGGAAUUCCACGUGUAGCGGUGAAAUGCGUAGAGAUGUGGAGGAACACCAGUGGCGAAGGCGGCUCUUUGGUCUGUAACUGACGCUGAGGCGCGAAAGCGUGGGGAGCGAACAGGAUUAGAUACCCUGGUAGUCCACGCCGUAAACGAUGAGUGCUAAGUGUUGGGGGGUUUCCGCCCCUCAGUGCUGCAGCUAACGCAUUAAGCACUCCGCCUGGGGAGUACGGCCGCAAGGCUGAAACUCAAAGGAAUUGACGGGGGCCCGCACAAGCGGUGGAGCAUGUGGUUUAAUUCGAAGCAACGCGAAGAACCUUACCAGGUCUUGACAUCCCGCUGACCGCCCUGGAGACAGGGCUUCCCCUUCGGGGGCAGCGGUGACAGGUGGUGCAUGGUUGUCGUCAGCUCGUGUCGUGAGAUGUUGGGUUAAGUCCCGCAACGAGCGCAACCCUUGAUCUUAGUUGCCAGCAUUCAGUUGGGCACUCUAAGGUGACUGCCGGUGACAAACCGGAGGAAGGUGGGGAUGACGUCAAAUCAUCAUGCCCCUUAUGACCUGGGCUACACACGUGCUACAAUGGAUGGUACAAANGGCUGCAAGACCGCGAGGUUUANCCAAUNCCAUANAACCAUUCUCAGUUCGGAUUGCAGNCUGCNNCUCNCCUGCAUAA
Molecule: ribosomal RNA, 788 nt
Filed under: Bacillus sp. 48-1 TDS
Lineage: Bacteria; Bacillati; Bacillota; Bacilli; Caryophanales; Bacillaceae
Description: bacterial SSU rRNA
Rfam family: Bacterial small subunit ribosomal RNA
Source: RNAcentral